AUUGAACGCUGGCGGCAGGCCUAACACAUGCAAGUCGAGCGGAUGAAGGGAGCUUGCUCCUGGAUUCAGCGGCGGACGGGUGAGUAAUGCCUAGGAAUCUGCCUGGUAGUGGGGGAUAACGUCCGGAAACGGGCGCUAAUACCGCAUACGUCCUGAGGGAGAAAGUGGGGGAUCUUCGGACCUCACGCUAUCAGAUGAGCCUAGGUCGGAUUAGCUAGUUGGUGGGGUAAAGGCCUACCAAGGCGACGAUCCGUAACUGGUCUGAGAGGAUGAUCAGUCACACUGGAACUGAGACACGGUCCAGACUCCUACGGGAGGCAGCAGUGGGGAAUAUUGGACAAUGGGCGAAAGCCUGAUCCAGCCAUGCCGCGUGUUUGAAGAAGGUCUUCGGAUUUUAAAGCACUUUAAGUUGGGAGGAAGGGCAGUAAGUUAAUACCUUGCUGUUUUGACGUUACCAACAGAAUAAGCACCGGCUAACUUCGUG
This 484-nucleotide ribosomal RNA is filed under the name uncultured bacterium. Its description in RNAcentral is "partial 16S ribosomal RNA". It matches the Rfam family "Bacterial small subunit ribosomal RNA", at positions 30 to 507 of the family's 1533-position model. The record is from RNAcentral.